RNAcentral lists this ribosomal RNA (487 nucleotides) under uncultured bacterium. Its description in RNAcentral is "bacterial SSU rRNA". It matches the Rfam family "Bacterial small subunit ribosomal RNA", at positions 501 to 987 of the family's 1533-position model. The record is from RNAcentral.
CUACGUGCCAGCAGCCGCGGCAAUACGUAGGUGGCAAGCGUUGUCCGGAAUUAUUGGGCGUAAAGCGCGCGCAGGCGGAUCAGUCAGUCUGUCUUAAAAGUUCGGGGCUUAACCCCGUGAUGGGAUGGAAACUGCUGAUCUAGAGUAUCGGAGAGGAAAGUGGAAUUCCUAGUGUAGCGGUGAAAUGCGUAGAUAUUAGGAAGAACACCAGUGGCGAAGGCGACUUUCUGGACGAAAACUGACGCUGAGGCGCGAAAGCCAGGGGAGCGAACGGGAUUAGAUACCCCGGUAGUCCUGGCCGUAAACGAUGGGUACUAGGUGUAGGAGGUAUCGACCCCUUCUGUGCCGGAGUUAACGCAAUAAGUACCCCGCCUGGGGAGUACGACCGCAAGGUUGAAACUCAAAGGAAUUGACGGGGGCCCGCACAAGCGGUGGAGUAUGUGGUUUAAUUCGACGCAACGCGAAGAACCUUACCAGGUCUUGACAU